UAACGCGUGGGAAUCUGCCCAGGAGUGGGGGAUAACCGAGGGAAACCUCGGCUAAUACCGCAAACGGCCUGAGGGCGAAAGAUUUAUCGCUCUAGGAGGGGCCCGCGUCGGAUUAGCUUGUUGGCGGGGUAACGGCCCACCAAAGCUAUGAUCCGUAGCUGGUCUGAGAGGAUGAUCAGCCACACUGGGACUGAGACACGGCCCAGACUCCUACGGGAGGCAGCAGUGGGGAAUAUUGGACAAUGGGCGCAAGCCUGAUCCAGCAAUGCCGCGUGAGUGAUGAAGGCCUUAGGGUUGU
Molecule: ribosomal RNA, 298 nt
Filed under: uncultured Sphingomonadaceae bacterium
Lineage: Bacteria; Pseudomonadati; Pseudomonadota; Alphaproteobacteria; Sphingomonadales; Sphingomonadaceae
Description: partial 16S ribosomal RNA
Rfam family: Bacterial small subunit ribosomal RNA
Source: RNAcentral